UAAUAUGCCGGUAUCAUGACAUUAAUUUUAAAAUUUAAAAUUUUCAAAUUGGGAGUAUUAUUGAUACAAAAUGAAGUAUAAAAUAUAAUUUUACAAAAAAAAAAAAAAAAAAAAAAAGGGGUAAAAUUAGGCAAUUAAUCUUUUCCCUGCUUAAUCAGCAGUGGCAGUAAAGCUUACAGAUAUCUUUUCCCUACAGCAGUUCAUGUUCAUUUCAGAUAAACUCCACGAGGCAAUCUACUGGUAAUUGGGAACCAAACCAUCACCAUCUAAUCUUAGACAGAUGGAUCAAUAAUACGCUCCCCAAUGAAUUAUUGCCGGUCAAGCAUAUAAUGCACUGCACUGAACCCAACUUGCCUUUACUUCACAGAGGCCAGAGCCUGUCCUGCCCUGACCCUGCAUACCCACCAGGCCACCAGUUGGUCCCAUUGAGACAAAUGACAAAUUGCAGCAAUGAUUUUAUAUUGUACAGCAUACAUACAUGGAGUUCUGAUACCUAUCGGUAAAAGUAGUCUCAUCUCUCUUUUUUACCCUCUUUUUCUUAACUACAAUAAUUGAUCCCAAAUCUUUAUACACAAUUUCCACUCGCUGAUCCACUAACCCCUUGGCAAAAGAAAAUAAAUAAAAGAGCAUCCGCCAGCCCAAUACCCAAUGUUGGAUAUCUACCACUACUUACUAUUCUACUAUUAUGAUACUGGAAUAUUUCUUUCGCUGUUCUGGGAAAUUACCUCGCCGAACUUCAGGAAGAGUUGUGCAUCUGAGGUGCUCAUGGAGGGGCAAUUCACCAUGUGUGGAGUCUUGAGAUUUGCAUAAUCAUCCAUGUAGCAAGACACUUUGGCAGAUGGAAGUGGGGGAGGUGGUGCUGGGGUGGUGCAUUGUUUAAUUGGCACCGAUGGCAAAAGGCUACCGAGAACACGUGUCACUUCGUGCAUAGUUGGCCGGUCUGCUGGCUGUCUCUUGGUGCAUAAAAGGGCAAGCUGAAAAACCUUCUUUACAGCACCUAAAUCUUUACAUGUAGCAGUUAUCUCAGGAUCAACAGUUUCCAUAACAGCAUUGUUGGCGGUCUUCGAUAAGAUCUGAUGCAAUUAAAAAGCAGGAAGUUUGAGGCAUCGAUAAAUAUAAGUUGCAUUUCCAAAGCAUGAUAAUGCCAUAAGUUAUAUUUUCAGCUUUAAUAUCUAAAGUAGCCAUUUAUAUCGAAGAAGUCCUAGAUCAAGAAAAGCCAAAAUGAAUGCUGAAAAUCUACGACAGCACCGGCAAUUAAUCUUUUCCCUGCUUAAUCAGCAGUGGCAGUAAAGCUUACAGAUAUCUUUUCCCUACAGCAGUUCAUGUUCAUUUCAGAUAAACUCCACGAGGCAAUCUACUGGUAAUUGGGAACCAAACCAUCACCAUCUAAUCUUAGACAGAUGGAUCAAUAAUACGCUCCCCAAUGAAUUAUUGCCGGUCAAGCAUAUAAUGCACUGCACUGAACCCAACUUGCCUUUACUUCACAGAGGCCAGAGCCUGUCCUGCCCUGACCCUGCAUACCCACCAGGCCACCAGUUGGUCCCAUUGAGACAAAUGACAAAUUGCAGCAAUGAUUUUAUAUUGUACAGCAUACAUACAUGGAGUUCUGAUACCUAUCGGUAAAAGUAGUCUCAUCUCUCUUUUUUACCCUCUUUUUCUUAACUACAAUAAUUGAUCCCAAAUCUUUAUACACAAUUUCCACUCGCUGAUCCACUAACCCCUUGGCAAAAGAAAAUAAAUAAAAGAGCAUCCGCCAGCCCAAUACCCAAUGUUGGAUAUCUACCACUACUUACUAUUCUACUAUUAUGAUACUGGAAUAUUUCUUUCGCUGUUCUGGGAAAUUACCUCGCCGAACUUCAGGAAGAGUUGUGCAUCUGAGGUGCUCAUGGAGGGGCAAUUCACCAUGUGUGGAGUCUUGAGAUUUGCAUAAUCAUCCAUGUAGCAAGACACUUUGGCAGAUGGAAGUGGGGGAGGUGGUGCUGGGGUGGUGCAUUGUUUAAUUGGCACCGAUGGCAAAAGGCUACCGAGAACACGUGUCACUUCGUGCAUAGUUGGCCGGUCUGCUGGCUGUCUCUUGGUGCAUAAAAGGGCAAGCUGAAAAACCUUCUUUACAGCACCUAAAUCUUUACAUGUAGCAGUUAUCUCAGGAUCAACAGUUUCCAUAACAGCAUUGUUGGC
This 2178-nucleotide long non-coding RNA is filed under the name Jatropha curcas. RNAcentral's name for it is "long non-coding RNA (JCUR_LNC001876)". Lineage: Eukaryota; Viridiplantae; Streptophyta; Magnoliopsida; Malpighiales; Euphorbiaceae. The record is from RNAcentral.